GGAAAUUAUGUAGGAAAGAGGAAAGAACUACCAUUACUGCUACCACUAACCGGGCGAUAAAAGCGGACAAGGACACCAGUAUUCGAAAGAACUUAACGUUAUUACGACAAUGAGUAAUAUCUUAGUUGCUGGUUGGAUUCAAAACACUUGUCUAAUCUAUUAUUGAAGGCCAUAACUGUUGUACUAUCAACGACAUCACAGGGUAGAGAGUUCCAACCUUAACAACUCGAUUGAAGAAGAAGUGUUUAGCUUCGUGUGACGAGAAUCUUUUACCACUUAUCUUCAAAUUGUGAUUUCUUCUUGUUCUAUUUGAUCGAUCAACUGUAAAGUAAUCUUCCGCAUUAAAUGGUGAAGGUCAAUGAGUUUAAGUACCUUGGAUCAGUUAUGUGUAAGCAUGGUGGUACGGAGGGAGAGACAAGAGAAAGGGCAUUGCAAGGAAGAAGGGUGGUAGGGUCUUUGGGACGAAUCAUGAAUGGCAGAAGUGUGAGCAUGGAGGUAAAGAGGGAUUUGAGAGAUACAAUAAUAGUACCAACCCUCACAUAUGAAACGUGGGCCUGGAAUGAAAGUCUAGAGUGCAGGCAGUGGAAAUGAGUUAUUUGAGGAGUGCUUGUGGUGUGAGUAGAAUGGAUGGAAUGAGUAAUGAAAGUGUGUACAAACGUUUUGGAAUGUGUCACAGGGGUUAAGGGAAGAAGUGUGGAGUGGUGGAGGAAGUGAAGCGACAGACCUUAAAGUGGUUUGGCCACAUGGAGCGAAUGGAGGAGAGUAAGAUGACCAGAAGGGUGUAUGUGAGUGAGAUAGAGGGAGGGAAUGCUAGAGGACGACCUCCAGUGAAAUGGAGGGAUAGGGUGCAAGAGUACGUUAGGAAGAGGGGGGGAAUAUCUUUGAUAAACUUUGAGCAGGCAAGGAGGGAGUGUCUGGAUAGAGAAAGGUGGAAGCUCUUCUGCUGUCGCCAUCCCCUGCUGGGAGCUCCUAGGAGCAGGCGUCGAUGAAAUGAUGAUGAUGACUGAGAGGGGUAUUUUGAUGUGUCUUGAGAGCUUGGAUAACAGUGACUGAGGGAGAGAUUUCAGAAUCAAAUAAAUAUAUACCCAUUACUUUUUUUUUUAGUGUGUGUGUGUGUGUGUGUGUGUGUGUGUGUUGCAGUUAUUGCUGUAUAUAAGGUAAGUGUUGCAGCAGGCUUAUUGUAAUGGACUGUUUUUGUUGGUAUUUAUUUUUUCCCUUGAGCUGCUUCCUCUACUGUAAAAAAAGAAAAAUUGUGACAAACAGCAAUUAGAUACAAAACUCACCUGCUUACCGUACCUUUCUGCCUUUCCUCAGGGACCUGGACACACUGUUCUGCGGCACCAGCAGCAGCAGCCUGCACAUCCAUGGCCUGCAGGAGGAGGACGAGGGGACGUACAGGUGCCGGGCGGAGAACAGGGAGGACUCGCUCGACGCCGUGGCCCACAUACAGGUCCAAGUUGCUCCGAGGUUUCUGAGGCAGCCGGCCAACGCUCUCGCCUAUGAGAAGGAGAACGUGGAGCUGGAGUGCAGCGUGUACGGCCAGCCAGAGCCCUCGCUCCACUGGCUCAAGAACGGCGAGCUGCUGGUGGAGACGGAAAAC
Long non-coding RNA from Eriocheir sinensis (Chinese mitten crab), 1600 nucleotides. RefSeq lists it as uncharacterized. The transcript is spliced from 3 exons. The record is from RefSeq and is a predicted model, not a curated record. Lineage: Eukaryota; Metazoa; Arthropoda; Malacostraca; Decapoda; Varunidae.